CUACGUGCCAGCAGCCGCGGUAAUACGGAGGAUGCGAGCGUUAUCCGGAUUUAUUGGGUUUAAAGGGUGCGUAGGCGGCCUGUUAAGUCAGCGGUGAAAUCUAGGAGCUUAACUCCUAAAUUGCCAUUGAUACUGGCGGGCUUGAGUGUAGAUGAGGUAGGCGGAAUGCGUGGUGUAGCGGUGGAAUGCAUAGAUAUCACGCAGAACUCCGAUUGCGAAGGCAGCUUACUAAGGUACAACUGACGCUGAAGCACGAAAGCGUGGGUAUCAAACAGGAUUAGAUACCCUGGUAGUCCACACAGUAAACGAUGUAUACUCGCGGUUUGCGAUAGAUUGUAAGCCGCCAAGCGAAAGCAUUAAGUAUACCACCUGGGGAGUACGCCGGCAACGGUGAAACUCAAAGGAAUUGACGGGGGCCCGCACAAGCGGAGGAACAUGUGGUUUAAUUCGAUGAUACGCGAGGAACCUUACCCGGGCU
Molecule: ribosomal RNA, 478 nt
Filed under: uncultured bacterium
Lineage: Bacteria
Description: bacterial SSU rRNA
Rfam family: Bacterial small subunit ribosomal RNA
Source: RNAcentral